Molecule: ribosomal RNA, 484 nt
Filed under: uncultured bacterium
Lineage: Bacteria
Description: SSU rRNA
Rfam family: Bacterial small subunit ribosomal RNA
Source: RNAcentral
AGGACGAACGCUGGCGGCGUGCUUAACACAUGCAAGUCACGGGGGCCCGUAGCAAUACGGGCAACCGGCGAACGGGUGCGUAACACGUGAGCAAUCUGCCGAUCUCUGGGGGAUAGCCAGCCUAACGGCUGGGUAAUACCGCAUACGCUCGUUGGGGGGAGUCCCCUGAUGAGGAAACCUCUGGGGGAGAUCGAGGAGCUCGCGACCUAUCAGCUAGUUGGCGGGUAACGGCCCACCAAGGCAGCGACGGGUAGCUGGUCUGAGAGGAUGGCCAGCCACAUUGGGACUGCGACACGGCCCAGACUCCUACGGGAGGCAGCAGUGGGGAAUAUUGCGCAAUGGACGAAAGUCUGACGCAGCGACGCCGCGUGUGGGAUGAAGCCUUUCGGGGUGUAAACCACUGUUGCCCGGGACGAAACUCCUCUUUCGAGAGGAUUGACGGUACCGGGUGAGGAGCACCGGCUAACUCUGCGCCAGCAGCCGC